GGUGGGAGGCUUUGAAGCGUGGACGCCAGUCUGCGUGGAGCCGACCUUGAAAUACCACCCUUUAAUGUUUGAUGUUCUAACGUGGACCCGUUACCCGGGUUGCGGACAGUGUCUGGUGGGUAGUUUGACUGGGGCGGUCUCCUCCUAAAGAGUAACGGAGGAGCACGAAGGUUGGCUAAUCCUGGUCGGACAUCAGGAGGUUAGUGCAAUGGCAUAAGCCAGCUUGACUGCGAGCGUGACGGCGCGAGCAGGUGCGAAAGCAGGUCAUAGUGAUCCGGUGGUUCUGAAUGGAAGGGCCAUCGCUCAACGGAUAAAAGGUACUCCGGGGAUAACAGGCUGAUACCGCCCAAGAGUUCAUAUCGACGGCGGUGUUUGGCACCUCGAUGUCGGCUCAUCACAUCCUGGGGCUGAAGUAGGUCCCAAGGGUAUGGCUGUUCGCCAUUUAAAGUGGUACGCGAGCUGGGUUUAGAACGUCGUGAGACAGUUCGGUCCCUAUCUGCCGUGGGCGCUGGAGAACUGAGGGGGGCUGCUCCUAGUACGAGAGGACCGGAGUGGACGCAUCACUGGUGUUCGGGUUGUCAUGCCAAUGGCACUGCCCGGUAGCUAAAUGCGGAAGAGAUAAGUGCUGAAAGCAUCUAAGCACGAAACUUGCCCCGA
Molecule: ribosomal RNA, 657 nt
Filed under: Salmonella enterica
Lineage: Bacteria; Pseudomonadati; Pseudomonadota; Gammaproteobacteria; Enterobacterales; Enterobacteriaceae
Description: partial 23S ribosomal RNA
Rfam family: Bacterial large subunit ribosomal RNA
Source: RNAcentral